Molecule: ribosomal RNA, 398 nt
Filed under: Spirochaetaceae bacterium
Lineage: Bacteria; Pseudomonadati; Spirochaetota; Spirochaetia; Spirochaetales; Spirochaetaceae
Description: bacterial SSU rRNA
Rfam family: Bacterial small subunit ribosomal RNA
Source: RNAcentral
AUCAUGGAGAGUUUGAUCCUGGCUCAGAACGAACGCUGGCGGCGCGUCUUAAGCAUGCAAGUCGGACGGCAAGGGGGAGCAAUCCCCCCUAGAGUGGCGGACUGGUGAGUAACGCGUGGGUGACCUGCCCCGAGGCCGGGGAUAGCCGUUAGAAAUAGCGGGUAAUACCGGAUGAGCUGGAAGCGCUGCGGCGUUUUCAGGAAAGAAGCCAAGGCUUCGCCUCGGGAUGGGCCCGCGUCCCAUUAGCUAGUUGGGGGUGUAACGGACCACCAAGGCGGUGAUGGGUAGCCGGCCUGAGAGGGUGAACGGCCACACUGGGACUGAGAUACGGCCCAGACUCCUACGGGAGGCAGCAGCUAAGAAUAUUCCGCAAUGGGCGAAAGCCUGACGGAGCGACG